UUUCAUUUCCAUACAAUUAGUGAAUUCUUGUGACAAUAGUUCCCCUUGAAGGUGUUCUAUAUAAUGGGUCACCUGUAGCUUUCUGUAUGAGAUCCUGAAGCCCCUCGUCUUCAACAAUGUUGAUGGGUCUGCAGUCUGUAGCAACCCAUUCAGCAAUUGCAUUAUUUAACUUAGUUGUUUUUAGUUAUUUUUAGA
Thalassophryne amazonica is the source of this 195-nucleotide long non-coding RNA. RefSeq lists it as uncharacterized. NCBI's taxonomy places the organism in Eukaryota, Metazoa, Chordata, Actinopteri, Batrachoidiformes, Batrachoididae. The record is from RefSeq and is a predicted model, not a curated record. The transcript is spliced from 3 exons.